RNAcentral lists this long non-coding RNA (412 nucleotides) under Lupinus angustifolius (narrow-leaved blue lupine). RNAcentral describes it as "long non-coding RNA (LANG_LNC001621)". The record is from RNAcentral. Lineage: Eukaryota; Viridiplantae; Streptophyta; Magnoliopsida; Fabales; Fabaceae.
CAAAAUAAUAUAGAAAGGUCGAAAUAGUGGGGGAGAGGUUGCACCCAAUGCCAUAACCCCAUCAAGCUACAACCUCUCUUCUUGUUUCCAACUUUGAUCUUUUCUAAACUAUACUCCAAAACCAUCUCUUCUUGCAUGAUGUUAAUCAAGUUUAUAUAAAAAAAAUGAAAACAUUUUCAGUUAUCCAACACUCUUUCUACUACACUUGCCACUUCGUGUUUCAUUUAUUUAACUGUUAAGCUUCAUUCAAUGAGAAAAAGUCUCUUUAUGUUCCUCACUUCAUUUAUUUGUGUUAUCCAUUCCCUCCCUCUUUAUAUUUCUUAAUAACAAAUAAUAACAGCAUGCAUGCUUCACUAUAACAACGCUCGCUUAUUUAUUGUAAUCACCUCAUCCACGCUUUAACUCUAAGAAC